GCUCGGGUGGUGAAAUUGGCAGACACGCUGGAUUUAGGUUCCAGUGCCGCAAGGCGUAAGGGUUCAAGUCCCUUCCCGAGCA
Molecule: transfer RNA, 82 nt
Filed under: Puniceicoccales bacterium
Lineage: Bacteria; Pseudomonadati; Verrucomicrobiota; Opitutia; Puniceicoccales
Description: tRNA-Leu
Rfam family: tRNA
About the family: Transfer RNA (tRNA) molecules are approximately 80 nucleotides in length.
Source: RNAcentral